This is a long non-coding RNA of Aphidius gifuensis, 599 nucleotides long. RefSeq lists it as uncharacterized. The record is from RefSeq and is a predicted model, not a curated record. Lineage: Eukaryota; Metazoa; Arthropoda; Insecta; Hymenoptera; Braconidae. The transcript has 3 exons.
GUUUUGACAGACGAGACGAACACAGUCCUGUCAGCUUAAUACAGUUGAUCAAAAGUCAAAAACAGUUCUAGACAUUCAAUCAUCUGAGUCAUCAAAAAAUUCUGAUGUUAUUCAAUUAUUGAAAAAUAUUGAUGAAAAAAAUGAUGAUAAGCAGAAGAAAAAAGUAAGUGAAGAAUUCCACAAAAAAAUGAAGAUUUAUAUUUUAUUUUGGAACAAAAUCUUGUAAAAGGAUCGAAACAACUAUUUGGCGAACAUUGCGGUGAAGAAGUAAUUUAUUAUUAAAUAAAUUUUCAGUCUUCAUUUUUCUCGGGAGUUUUAAUUUAUAAUUACUGUUCUACAUGUUUGUAGAUGACCUCGUUGGGAAAAAAUAUUUAGUGCAAGAAUACAAGUUGGAAUUUGGCACUCAAAGCAAAGUCCAUUACUUCUAUCGCUCGACGUUUUCUUGAGGGAGUUUAUAAAAGAGAAGCUUUGUUAAAAUCAACACCAUCUGGUCAGUCUGGUCGUUGCCUUGGAGCACAGGCAGCUGGUAACAUAGAAAUGGAGAGUCUAUACGAGCCUGCAUUAACACAAAUAAUUGAAGCAGCUAAAGUUCUUGCUUA